UCCAUAGGAUUCCAUCCUAAAUUAGUGCAGAACAAACAGCUGAUACUACUGUGACAUGGGCAAACUUCUGAGGUGUGCACUGCAGCCACCCCAGAGCUUGCUCAUUGGUGCCACUAUCACUAUCCCAACUGCAAACCUUCCAUCAGAGCCUUCUCCUCCCCUGCUGCUGCCCACAUACACUCAGCAGGCUGUGGGCAGCACUGCUUCCUUCUACCUGAGGGGAGAACACAAAUGGCAGGAUCUGGGAGAGGGAGCAAUCAGAGCUGGGAGUACCCAGGGUAACAUCAGGAAACGCCUUCCCACAAGACCCAAAGAAGAAGCAAUGGCAUGAACUUGUUCUUCCUUAAAAAAACUUGCAAGUC
Molecule: long non-coding RNA, 362 nt
Organism: Passer domesticus (house sparrow)
Lineage: Eukaryota; Metazoa; Chordata; Aves; Passeriformes; Passeridae
Exons: 2
Source: RefSeq, a predicted model, not a curated record